This 253-nucleotide ribosomal RNA is filed under the name uncultured bacterium. Its description in RNAcentral is "partial 16S ribosomal RNA". It matches the Rfam family "Bacterial small subunit ribosomal RNA", at positions 524 to 776 of the family's 1533-position model. The record is from RNAcentral.
UACGAAGGGAGCUAGCGUUGUUCGGAGUCACUGGGCGUAAAGCGCACGUAGGCGGAUGUGUCAGUCAGGGGUGAAAUCCCGGAGCUCAACUUCGGAACUGCCUUUGAUACAGCACGUCUUGAGUCCGAUAGAGGUGGGUGGAAUUCCUAGUGUAGAGGUGAAAUUCGUAGAUAUUAGGAAGAACACCGGUGGCGAAGGCAGCUCGCUGGGACGUAACUGACGCUGAGACGCGAAAGCGUGGGGAGCAAACAGG